AUUGAACGCUGGCGGCAGGCCUAACACAUGCAAGUCGAGCGGAGCGGCGGACGGGUGAGUAAUGCCUAGGAAUCUGCCUGGUAGUGGGGGAUAACGUCCGGAAACGGGCGCUAAUACCGCAUACUAUCAGAUGAGCCUAGGUCGGAUUAGCUAGUUGGUGGGGUAAAGGCCUACCAAGGCGACGCUCCGUAACUGGUCUGAGAGGAUGAUCAGUCACACUGGAACUGAGAAAGGAUCCAGAUUCCUAGGGGAGGCAGCAGUGGGUAAUAUUGAACAAUGGGCGCAAGCCUGAUGCAGCCAGGCCGCGUGUAUGAAGAAGGCCUUCGGGUUGUAAAGUACUUUCAGCGGUGAGGCGUUACCCGAUGAAGAAGCACCGGCUAACGCCGUGCCAGCAGCCGCGGUAAUAC
RNAcentral lists this ribosomal RNA (407 nucleotides) under uncultured bacterium. Its description in RNAcentral is "partial 16S ribosomal RNA". It matches the Rfam family "Bacterial small subunit ribosomal RNA", at positions 30 to 526 of the family's 1533-position model. The record is from RNAcentral.